RNAcentral lists this ribosomal RNA (444 nucleotides) under Neisseria mucosa. RNAcentral's name for it is "bacterial SSU rRNA". It matches the Rfam family "Bacterial small subunit ribosomal RNA", at positions 30 to 468 of the family's 1533-position model. The record is from RNAcentral. Lineage: Bacteria; Pseudomonadati; Pseudomonadota; Betaproteobacteria; Neisseriales; Neisseriaceae.
AUUGAACGCUGGCGGCAUGCUUUACACAUGCAAGUCGGACGGCAGCACAGAGAAGCUUGCUUCUUGGGUGGCGAGUGGCGAACGGGUGAGUAACAUAUCGGAACGUACCGAGCAGUGGGGGAUAACUAAUCGAAAGAUUAGCUAAUACCGCAUAUAUUCUGAGGAAGAAAGCAGGGGACCAUUUGGCCUUGCGCUGUUUGAGCGGCCGAUAUCUGAUUAGCUAGUUGGUGGGGUAAAGGCCUACCAAGGCGACGAUCAGUAGCGGGUCUGAGAGGAUGAUCCGCCACACUGGGACUGAGACACGGCCCAGACUCCUACGGGAGGCAGCAGUGGGGAAUUUUGGACAAUGGGCGCAAGCCUGAUCCAGCCAUGCCGCGUGUCUGAAGAAGGCCUUCGGGUUGUAAAGGACUUUUGUCAGGGAAGAAAAGGGCGGGGUUAAUACCC